UUUGGUUAAGUUAGAAAGGGCGCACGGUGGAUGCCUUGACACUAGGAGUCGAUGAAGGACGGGACUAACGCCGAUAUGCUUCGGGGAGCUGUAAGUAAGCUUUGAUCCGAAGAUUUCCGAAUGGGGAAACCCACUAUACGUAAUGGUAUGGUAUCCUUACCUGAAUACAUAGGGUAUGGAAGACAGACCCAGGGAACUGAAACAUCUAAGUACCUGGAGGAAGAGAAAGCAAAUGCGAUUUCCUGAGUAGCGGCGAGCGAAACGGAACAUAGCCCAAACCAAGAGGCUUGCCUCUUGGGGUUGUAGGACAUUCUAUACGGAGUUACAAAGGAACGAGGUAGACGAAGCGACCUGGAAAGGUCCGUCGUAGAGGGUAACAACCCCGUAGUCGAAACUUCGUUCUCUCUUGAAUGUAUCCUGAGUACGGCGGAACACGUGAAAUUCCGUCGGAAUCUGGGAGGACCAUCUCCCAAGGCUAAAUACUCCCUAGUGAUCGAUAGUGAACCAGUACCGUGAGGGAAAGGUGAAAAGCACCCCGGAAGGGGAGUGAAAGAGAUCCUGAAACCGUGUGCCUACAAAUAGUCAGAGCCCGUUAAUGGGUGAUGGCGUGCCUUUUGUAGAAUGAACCGGCGAGUUACGAUCCCGUGCAAGGUUAAGCUGAAGAGGCGGAGCCGCAGCGAAAGCGAGUCUGAAUAGGGCGUUUAGUACGUGGUCGUAGACCCGAAACCAGGUGAUCUACCCAUGUCCAGGGUGAAGUUCAGGUAACACUGAAUGGAGGCCCGAACCCACGCACGUUGAAAAGUGCGGGGAUGAGGUGUGGGUAGCGGAGAAAUUCCAAUCGAACCUGGAGAUAGCUGGUUCUCCCCGAAAUAGCUUUAGGGCUAGCCUUAAGUGUAAGAGUCUUGGAGGUAGAGCACUGAUUGAACUAGGGGUCCUCAUCGGAUUACCGAAUUCAGUCAAACUCCGAAUGCCAAUGACUUAUCCUUAGGAGUCAGACUGCGAGUGAUAAGAUCCGUAGUCAAGAGGGAAACAGCCCAGAUCGCCAGCUAAGGUCCCAAAGUGUGUAUUAAGUGGAAAAGGAUGUGGAGUUGCUUAGACAACUAGGAUGUUGGCUUAGAAGCAGCCACCAUUUAAAGAGUGCGUAAUAGCUCACUAGUCGAGUGACUCUGCGCCGAAAAUGUACCGGGGCUAAAUACACCACCGAAGCUGCGAAUUGAUACCAAUGGUAUCAGUGGUAGGGGAGCGUUCUAAGUGCAGUGAAGUCAGACCGGAAGGACUGGUGGAGCGCUUAGAAGUGAGAAUGCCGGUAUGAGUAGCGAAAGACGGGUGAGAAUCCCGUCCACCGAAUGCCUAAGGUUUCCUGAGGAAGGCUCGUCCGCUCAGGGUUAGUCAGGACCUAAGCCGAGGCCGACAGGCGUAGGCGAUGGACAACAGGUUGAUAUUCCUGUACCACCUCUUUAUCGUUUGAGCAAUGGAGGGACGCAGAAGGAUAGAAGAAGCGUGCGAUUGGUUGUGCACGUCCAAGCAGUUAGGCUGAUAAGUAGGCAAAUCCGCUUAUCGUGAAGGCUGAGCUGUGAUGGGGAAGCUCCUUAUGGAGCGAAGUCUUUGAUUCCCCGCUGCCAAGAAAAGCUUCUAGCGAGAUAAAAGGUGCCUGUACCGCAAACCGACACAGGUAGGCGAGGAGAGAAUCCUAAGGUGUGCGAGAGAACUCUGGUUAAGGAACUCGGCAAAAUGACCCCGUAACUUCGGGAGAAGGGGUGCUUUCUUAACGGAAAGCCGCAGUGAAUAGGCCCAAGCGACUGUUUAGCAAAAACACAGCUCUCUGCGAAGCCGUAAGGCGAAGUAUAGGGGGUGACACCUGCCCGGUGCUGGAAGGUUAAGGAGAGGGGUUAGCGUAAGCGAAGCUCUGAACUGAAGCCCCAGUAAACGGCGGCCGUAACUAUAACGGUCCUAAGGUAGCGAAAUUCCUUGUCGGGUAAGUUCCGACCCGCACGAAAGGUGUAACGAUUUGGGCACUGUCUCAACCAGAGACUCGGUGAAAUUAUAGUACCUGUGAAGAUGCAGGUUACCCGCGACAGGACGGAAAGACCCCGUGGAGCUUUACUGUAGCCUGAUAUUGAAUUUUGGUACAGUUUGUACAGGAUAGGCGGGAGCCAUUGAAACCGGAGC
This 2169-nucleotide ribosomal RNA is filed under the name Bacillus thuringiensis serovar silo. Its description in RNAcentral is "bacterial LSU rRNA". It matches the Rfam family "Bacterial large subunit ribosomal RNA", at positions 1 to 2169 of the family's 2925-position model. The record is from RNAcentral. Lineage: Bacteria; Bacillati; Bacillota; Bacilli; Caryophanales; Bacillaceae.